Molecule: ribosomal RNA, 774 nt
Filed under: uncultured Neocallimastigales
Lineage: Eukaryota; Fungi; Neocallimastigomycota; Neocallimastigomycetes; Neocallimastigales
Description: partial large subunit ribosomal RNA
Rfam family: Eukaryotic large subunit ribosomal RNA
Source: RNAcentral
AGAGAUGUGUGAUGACGCAUAUCAAUAAGCGGAGGAAAAGAAACUAACAAGGACUCCCUUAGUAACGGCGAGUGAAGCGGGAAGAGCUCAAAUUUGAAAUCUUCAAGGUUCUACCUUGACGAAUUGUAGUUUAUAGAAGUGUUUUCUGUUAGUAGAGUGGCAAAAGUUCUUUGGAAUAGGACAUCAUAGAGGGUCGAGAAUCCCGUAUUUGGUCAUUCUUCUAGCGUUGUGAUACACUUUCAACGAGUCGGAUUGUUUGGGAAUGCAGUCCAAAAUGGGUGGUAAAUUUCGUCUAAAGCUAAAUAUUGGCGAGAGACCGAUAGCGAACAAGUACCGUGAGGGAAAGAUGAAAAGAACUUUGAAAAGAGAGUUAAACAGUACGUGAAAUUGUCAAAAGGGAAGCGUUUGACACCAGUGUCGUUUUUCCGAAAAUCAAUUACGAAUGUUUUGUUUUUGAGAAGUUAUGACUUCAUCGGCUUGCUUCUCUCUUUACGAAACUUUCUUAAUGCACUUUUCGGUUAACAAGUCAACAUCAAUUUCUUUUGUUGUAAAAGGGUAUGAGGAAGGUGGCUUUCUUUUCGGAGAAAGUGUUUAUAGCCUUGUACCUCUGCAAUCGGAGAGAUUGAGGUCUGCAGCGUAGAUCCUUCGGGGUUAGAUACAUUUGUGCUAAGUUAUAGCUUUUCAUAGACAACUUGUUGACUAUGUUUAGUCUUGUAGCUUACUCGCUUAUGCUAUUUUACCUACGCUUAGGAUGUUGAAGAUGUAGCACAUCAU